GACGAACGCUGGCGGCGUGCGUAAUACAUGCAAGUAGAACGCUGAAGAGAGGAGCUUGCUCUUCUUGGAUGAGUUGCGAACGGGUGAGUAACGCGUAGGUAACCUGCCUUGUAGCGGGGGAUAACUAUUGGAAACGAUAGCUAAUACCGCAUAACAAUGGGUGACACAUGUCAUUUAUUUGAAAGGGGCAAUUGCUCCACUACAAGAUGGACCUGCGUUGUAUUAGCUAGUAGGUGAGGUAACGGCUCACCUAGGCGACGAUACAUAGCCGACCUGAGAGGGUGAUCGGCCACACUGGGACUGAGACACGGCCCAGACUCCUACGGGAGGCAGCAGUAGGGAAUCUUCGGCAAUGGGGGCAACCCUGACCGAGCAACGCCGCGUGAGUGAAGAAGGUUUUCGGAUCGUAAAGCUCUGUUGUAAGUCAAGAACGAGUGUGAGAGUGGAAAGUUCACACUGUGACGGUAGCUUACCAGAAAGGGACGGCUAACUACGUGCCAGCAGCCGCGGUAAUACGUAGGUCCCGAGCGUUGUCCGGAUUUAUUGGGCGUAAAGCGAGCGCAGGCGGUUUGAUAAGUCUGAAGUUAAAGGCUGUGGCUCAACCAUAGUUCGCUUUGGAAACUGUCAAACUUGAGUGCAGAAGGGGAGAGUGGAAUUCCAUGUGUAGCGGUGAAAUGCGUAGAUAUAUGGAGGAACACCGGUGGCGAAAGCGGCUCUCUGGUCUGUAACUGACGCUGAGGCUCGAAAGCGUGGGGAGCGAACAGG
This 765-nucleotide ribosomal RNA is filed under the name uncultured Streptococcus sp. RNAcentral's name for it is "bacterial SSU rRNA". It matches the Rfam family "Bacterial small subunit ribosomal RNA", at positions 28 to 776 of the family's 1533-position model. The record is from RNAcentral. Lineage: Bacteria; Bacillati; Bacillota; Bacilli; Lactobacillales; Streptococcaceae.